GAUGAAGAACGCAGCGAACUGCGAUAAGUAAUGUGAAUUGCAGAAUUCAGUGAAUCAUCGAGUCUUUGAACGCACAUUGCGCCCCCUGGCAUUCCGGGGGGCAUGCCUGUCCGAGCGUCAUUGCUGCCCUUCAAGCCCGGCUUGUGUGUUGGGUCGUCGUCCCCCCCGGGGGACGGGCCCGAACGGCCGCGGCGGCACCGCGUCCGGUCCUCGAGCGUAUGGGGCUUUGUCACCCGCUCGAUUAGGGCCGGCCGGGCGCCAGCCGGCGUCUCCAACCUUCUAUUUUACCAGGUUGACCUCGGAUCAGGUAGGGAUACCCGCUGAACUUAAGCAUAUCAAUAAGCGGAGG
RNAcentral lists this unclassified non-coding RNA (349 nucleotides) under soil metagenome. RNAcentral describes it as "partial contains 5.8S ribosomal RNA, internal transcribed spacer 2, and large subunit ribosomal RNA". The stretch from base 1 to 120 matches the Rfam family "5.8S ribosomal RNA", at positions 35 to 154 of the family's 154-position model. The record is from RNAcentral.